UACAGAGGGGGCAAGCGUUAUUCGGAAUUAUUGGGCGUAAAGGGCGCGUAGGCGGCUUUGCAAGUGACGGGUGAAAUCCCUCGGCUUAACCGAGGAACUGCCUGUCAGACUGCAUGGCUUGAGACCGGGAGAGGUGAGUGGAAUUCCCAGUGUAGCGGUGAAAUGCGUAGAUAUUGGGAGGAACACCAGUGGCGAAGGCGGCUCACUGGACCGGAACUGACGCUGAGGCGCGAAAGCGUGGGGAGCAAACAGG
Molecule: ribosomal RNA, 253 nt
Filed under: uncultured bacterium
Lineage: Bacteria
Description: partial 16S ribosomal RNA
Rfam family: Bacterial small subunit ribosomal RNA
Source: RNAcentral